AUGACACUUCUCAGAUCUUGGACUGAAGCCUGGCUCAAGUACGUCAGAGUUUCCACUUCUGACCCGUUUCGGUCUGGUCAGUCCCAAGGUGAUCUUGUUGGGUCUGUUUCUGAUCAAGCUGAACUUUCUUUGUUGGAAGGGAGUGAGAACCUCUUUGAUGCUGAGGUUGCGGCUCAUCAAGAACUGUUGCGGGGAGACCAUAGCUGA
Molecule: non-coding RNA, 207 nt
Organism: Vicia faba (fava bean)
Lineage: Eukaryota; Viridiplantae; Streptophyta; Magnoliopsida; Fabales; Fabaceae
Source: the annotation of a GenBank genome assembly